GCACAAACUGGAUCAGUGAGCUGUAGAUGACUCCCUGCCAAUAUUUCCAGUAAUCACAGCAGCUGUGAAGACAACAAAAAAGAAGCAAAAAUGAUGCAGCCAUGUUCCUGGCUCUUCCUUAGGGAUGCAAGUCCAGCCUUGAAGAGCAAGCAAAGGAAGUGAUCAGAUCCACGAUUAGUUGAAUCCACAGAUGUGGCACUCACAGAGGACCAAUUGUACAUUUAAUGUAGUUUGACCACAAGACCCAAAGUGAUGUAGUAGUUUGAAUGGUGAACUACAGCCCCUUCCAUGCUGCCCCUAUAUCCCAGGAUCUGAUCCCAGAUUAUCUAGCAGUAGAGACUCAUAUAAUCCAAUUUAAAGCAGAUAAUCUGGAAUCAGAUCCUGGGUUAUAGGGCAGUCUAGAAUUCCAGGAUUGGGGUUCAAAUCCCCACUCAGUCAUGGAAACCCACUGGGUAACCUUGAAUAAGCCAUACACUCUCAACUACAAAGGAAGGCAAACCCAUAUCUGAAACAAACGUACCAAGAAAACUCUGUGUGAGGAUCACCUUAGGGUCACCCUAGCCCAGAAAUGAUGUGAAAGCACAUAACAACAACAACAACAACAUUUAACCCAACAGGUGCCAAAAUUCUAUUUUGACAUCAUGUCAUGUUAUUUGAUCUAAAAGACUUCUGCAUUCUUAAUUUUCUUUCCCAAAAUAUUGUGCUAUAUAACUUUAAAUGGAUAAAAUGGGAGGGUAGAAGAAAAACUGAGGGUUGAAUGAGACUUAACCUGAAAUGGUGAUUCAUACCAAACUACUGUUCUCUCGUAACUAACAUAAUUAAUUGUCUUUCAUUCCAAAGGAGUUAGCGGUUCGGUAUGAACAUGUGCUGUUCUGCAUUGUUGAUGUGGACUUGGCAAAGGAUGUGGCAGACCUUUGCAAUAUCAUUGCCAUGCCAACAUUCCAGUUCUUCAUGAACGGAGAAAAGAUUUGGAAGGAGUGGAAGGACCCUCUACUCUACCCCUGUAAUGCAGAAAUACAUAGUAGAAGCACUAAGAAACUGCUAUCCAAACUCUAUUUAAAGACACCUAGAAAGGAAGAAGGCCAUUCUUACAGUUCUUACCAGAGGGGAAUCUCUUUGAAUCCACUGCUUCAUGUCCUAAUCUUUGGUGCAGCAGAAAACAAACCUCUUAUUCUUCUUCCUAAACAUCCCUCUAGUGUAUAAAAUGCCCCAUGUAUAAAAUGAUCAAAGUUUGUUUGGGGGAUUUUAAAAAACAUUUCAAGGCAUGGAUGGUGGAAUCUGUGAUGCAGAAUCUGUUGAUAUGAAGGUCCAACUGUAUUAUUAUUUCCUUGGACCCACACUACUAUUGAUGUAUCCUAGAACGUAUUGGCUUUUUUAAUCACCGGAUCACACUGUUGACUCAUUUCUGGUUUACGGUCUAAGCACUCACAAGCAAAGUGAUUUGUGCAUUAUUUCCCACGUCCCAAAACAGUGCUUCACAUUUAUCCCUUUUGAAAUUCAUUUUGUUAGUUCUAGCCCAGUUUUCCAACAUGUUAAGAUCAUUUUGAAUCUUGAUUUUGUCCUCUGGAAUCUUAGUUGUUUUGUUGUCAUUUGCAAAUUGGAUAAGCGUGUUCUCUGCUCUGUCAUCUAAAUUAUUUAUAAAGACAUUGUGUGGCAAUGGGCCCUGAGCAGACCCAUACUUUUUAUUCUCUCCAGGAUGAAGAGGAACCAUUGGUGAGUGCUCUCGAGGUUCCCAGUUAAAAAUCCACCCAACAAUAGUGUUGUCUAAUACACGUUUUGCCACCUUCUCUCUAAGAAGAUUGCGGAGGACUUUGUCAAAAGGCGUUCUAAAAUUAGAACAUGAUAUAUCCAUAGCAAUCUUCCAAUCUACCAACCAUAUUGUCUAUAUUUUUAAAAUAACAUUAAUCUGACAUGAAUUGUUGUUGAAAAAACAUGUUGGGUUUUAAUUAUCACUGCAUUCCUUUCUAAAUGCUCAUGGACUGGUUGUUUAAUUAUCUCUUAUCUUUUACAACCUUUCCUGAAACUGACAACAAGCCAACUAGUUGCUAGUUGUUUGGAUCUUCUUUUUCCUCCUUGUGAAGAAUGGGACGACUGCUGUUGGGUGCCUUCACUGAUAGCACAGCAGUGUUUAAUCUAUGCGUGCGAACUCAACCUCAUGCCUGCUUCAAGCCAACUUGGCGCAGUAGGAGAGAAUUAAUCAUAUUUACAUGCCAUCAUCUAUUUGCAUAUACGUGAAUGAACAUGUGCACUAGAAACACCUUGCAAGAGCAUUUGCCUAUCCCCUGUUCUCUAGUUAAUUUCCGUUUUUAUAAAAUAGAAACCUUUAAAUGAUAUGCUGGAGAACAAUUUGAAGAGCAGUGUCUAUUUUGAACAGAAAUCUGACCGCCCUGCAACAUGGACAAGUCAGAAUGUUGCAAUGGAAGUGACACUUCACAAACAACACUUCACAAGGAACUCAUGACUCAUUGCGUUGUGGGCAAAGGAUCACAGGAUGUUUUAUGCCGGUCCACUGUCUCUGCAAAACCUUAGAAGGACAGCAGCUUUUGUACCACAAAAGUCCAGUGGUAAACAAAGAAACAAUUUUCUCACGACCAUCUGUUUGCCACUUCAUCAACCGCAUGAGAGCACAAGGCAGCAACCAAAUCCAGCUCUUCAAACAAGUGAAAUUCCCCCUCCUUUUAGAAAGCCACUCCUAUAUAACUAUAAAUGCAACUAAAAGUUACAGUUACACUUAUGUCCUAUUUCUCCACCAGCAUUCCUAAAGACCUUCCCUACCAUACCCUCCAUUUUAAUAUAUUGUUAAUUUUGUAAUUGUGUUAAUAAAAAAUAUUUUUUAAAAAGUUACAGUUAUACCUCAGAAGCUGUUAAAUUAUCCCUCAAUAUCUUACCAUUAUAAGGUAACAUUGUUCUACUUUAGAAACUGGAAACAGGUUUGAUUUACAAACAACUGGUUAUUGUAAAUAAUUAUUUCUAAGGCUUCUUCUACACUGCCCUAUAUCCCAGGAUCUGAUCCCGGAUUAUCUGCUUUGAACUGGAUUAUAUGAGUCUCCAUAGAAUCAUAGAAUCAUAGAAUAGUAGAGUUGGAAGAGACCUCAUGGGCCAUCCAGUCCAACCCCCUGCCAAGAAGCAGGAAAUCGCAUUCAAAGCACCCCCGACAGAUGGCCA
Molecule: long non-coding RNA, 3165 nt
Organism: Anolis carolinensis (green anole)
Lineage: Eukaryota; Metazoa; Chordata; Lepidosauria; Squamata; Anolidae
Source: Ensembl